Long non-coding RNA from Vitis vinifera (wine grape), 3335 nucleotides. RefSeq lists it as uncharacterized. NCBI's taxonomy places the organism in Eukaryota, Viridiplantae, Streptophyta, Magnoliopsida, Vitales, Vitaceae. The record is from RefSeq and is a predicted model, not a curated record. The transcript has 2 exons.
UUCUACCUUUUUUGCCCUAACCCCAAAUUUGAUUUUCUCCCUUCCCUCUCUUUCUCACCUGCUCCUAACCACCUCCAUUUUCUCCGGGGACUCCUGUUCACUCCGGCGAGUUGAAAGUACACAUCUCUCUAUCUUUCUCUAACCCUCCCUCUUCAAAAUGUGUUGGCAUUGUCCAUUGAAUUUGUUCUUUUUAUAUUUAUGAGUUUUUCCUCUAUAACUUGAGGGUUUUUUUUUUUCAUGAAACCUACUCUGGUUCAGAGCAGACAUUUUUGCCAUAAAUUUAAUCAAUAUUUUUGUUUCCAUUUGUACAUCUUAAUUAGCAAGGGAAUAAUUCUUUUUUAUUUUUAAAUUUUUUUAUAAUGAAUUGAUUGACGAGCUUGUUUGUAUUGAACCCUUUAUAUCGGAAUGAUUGUAAGUAUUGAAACCUCCUUCACCAAUUUCCCAGUGAUACUGGGCGGGAAUUUCCUUUUCUUUUCCAAAAUGUAAUUUUUACAUGUUUUCUUGUUAUAAACCCUAAACCCUACUACGUGUGUGAAGGAUUUGAUUCAUGUUUGUGCUUCAAUCUAUAAACCUCUUUUUCUAUUUUUCGUUUAUUUAAUUUUUUUCCCCUAAUAAUUGUUUGAUCAGUUUAUAGGUGUGGAUCUCUUUGUAUCAAUUUGAAUAUUCUAUGAAUGAUUUGUUUUUCUGGCUUAUAUUCCUAUUUGGUAGAUUUUUCUUUUAUGCUUUGUUUUGUUUGUGGAGGAACUGAUCCGAAUACCUCAACAAAAUACGUAAGGUUGCUGUACAGGAUUUGUUUUUUUUUUCUUUUCUUGUCAGCAUUCUCUGCAAUCAAACAGGGAAAGCUACAUGUCUCCACCCAACAAACUAACAAAAUUAUCACAUAUCUGGUUCAUAAAUUCAUCACAUUUGCAAUUUUUGAUGGGUUAGAGCUCCUUGCCCCUGUUUUCUUCCUUCUUUGUCAAGAACCUAUCUAUUCUCUUGCAUUUUUAUUGUUGCCUUUUCCGUUACAAACUUGAUCAAUGAUUUUGUUUCAAUCUAUGAAGCCCCUUUUUUAUGUUGUUUUCAAUAUGCUAAUGGCAAUUUUUGUUCUUUUAUCUAACGUUUUGGGUUUAUAUCUGUGGAUCUCUUUCUAUGAAUAUCAAUAUCUGAAUAUUUUGAGUAUAUAAAUAGUUGAUAUAUGGUGUUGGAAAUCUUUUAUGCAUUGUUUGGUUGUGGAGAAACCUAACAAAUACCAUUAAUUGUUACAUUGAGGUUUUUUCUUUUCCUAACUUUCGUAUUAGGAACCAAAUGACAGAAAGUUGUUCUAUUGCAUUUUAUUUCCUCAAAUUUCUCUACUACAACAUAGAGUUAUGUGAUUGGAAAUUAUGUAUAUAAUGUACAGUCCUAACUUUGGUUAGUCUCUAGUUUUUUUAAUUCUGGCCCUAAAUAUUAGUCAGAAAAGUUUUUCCUGUGAUGGUUAGAUUUUUCUACUGUCUAACUUGAUUCUGAGACGACUUUUCUAAUUCUUUAGUUUUAUUCCUUGAUGAAUUUAAUUUUUUCUCCUUGGGAACAUAAUGGAUGCAUUGUAUAAUUAUUUUAAAAUUUAUGAUUUAUGCUUAUCUAUUUUCAGCACAUUAGUUUAGUAAAAUUGUAAGAUGUGAGAAAAAGAUAAAAUUGUAAUUUAUUUAGGAUCUAAGAAGAUUUCUGGUAUAAGUUUUCAUAUCUACAAGGAUGAUCACUGUGGAAUAUAAUGAGGCUUUGGGAGUUAUUAUUCCUUUAUUCUUCCCUACAUAUUUCUUAAUCAUCUCUGAAUCUUUCUAAUAAUUUUUUAUUUUGGGUUAUGAUGCUGUCAACAAAGCAUUCUCCCUGUUUACCUUUCAAUUGUAAUAAAUAAUUAUAGUAAUAAUAAUAAUAAUAAUAAUAAUAAUAAUAAUAACAGUAAUAAAAUUGCUAACAUUAGUAGUAAUAACAAGAAAAAAUAAUAAUUUGUAAUAAUAUCAUAAGAAUUACCAUUAUACCUGUUAAAAAACCUCGUUGUACGAUAGAUAUUUAUGUCUUUAUCCAAAAUGAAAACUAUUCAACCACAAAGCUUAGGGUGUUAUUCUUAUUCUUCUUCUUGUUAUUAUUAAUUUGAAUAUCAAUUUGUCUAAUUCAGAAUUGAUUUUUCAUAGAUUAUCAUCUUAUGAAUAAGUGGUGGAUAUCGUAAACAAUUCUUAAAUUGUCGCCCAUAUGUAGAGAGUUUGGGAAUACAUUGUUCUUCGAUUAUAUUUUAUGGCUUAUGUUUUAUUAUACUUCAUGGAAAUUUAGUACCAGUUUCUCUUGUUGUUUCUAUAUAUGCUUAGACUUGAUGACAUGCACCAUUGGUUAUAUAACUAAACAGUGUAUGCACCUAAUCUACCUCAUGAAUCUAGAGAACCAAGGGAAGGUGAUCUCAAAAUUUCCUUGCAAGUGGAAUAGUGUGUCAAGCUGCUGACUUUAAGAUGGAUUGUAUAUUCUCAAAUGGAGGACCAACCCAUCUACUAGAGAGAAGAUAAAAGAUGUUAAGAUGUGCAUCCAUGCAUGACACUUUGUGAAGAUCAACCUCAAAUUAUUUGCUCAACUCAUGGUAGUUAAAUCAUGGUGAACAAGAGUUGGAUUAAGAGUAAAAAUAGGUGCUCCACUGAGUACAUACAAGGGGUGAAAUGCUUCAUGAAUGUGGCACGCAACCAUAUGGAUUCACUAAGCCAGACUCGAUGUCCCUGUCGUAGUUGCUUGAAUGUUUUGUUUCAACCUAUAGAUGAUGUCGAAGAGCACCUAUUUGUGCAUGGAUUUGAUAGCACAUAUAUCAAAUGGAUACAUCACGGGGAUAAUAGACUUGAAUCAAUGAACAAAGAUGUUAAUGACAAACCCUCAACCAAAGACUCAUUACAAAAAACCUCGGUACAAAUUUGCUUUGAUCUAAUUAGUGAUGAGUCUAGUUCUGUUCGAGGUCUUUCCCAGAACGAGGUUCCAAAAUCCUUUAUGAUGCAUACUAAGGUGGAUGUAGCAGCAGUUGAAAAUAUGACUCUACUAGAGGAAACAGUUGAGGAGCACGGACGCAUUCUUGCUGCAAUGCAAUCUCAGCUAGCUCACAUCACCUCGUGGCUACAACAUUUCAGAUCAAGGCAGAAGCCAUCCCAAGACACUCCUUCAUGAUUUUGUAUGGUACAAACAUGGACACUUUAUUAUCCUCUCCUACUUGAAGGUGAUAUUUUGAACUUGAGCGAUAUUUUUAUUUUGGAUUUGUAGUUUAGUCUUGCAAAAUCUUAAUCUACGUACGAUUGUUUUAGAAUAUGAUAAUAAGUUUAUAUUUAUUUAUAAUACUACAGUUUUAUUUA